Prunus avium (sweet cherry) is the source of this 2253-nucleotide non-coding RNA. NCBI's taxonomy places the organism in Eukaryota, Viridiplantae, Streptophyta, Magnoliopsida, Rosales, Rosaceae. The record is from RefSeq and is a predicted model, not a curated record.
CCGAGUCUCCGACCCCCCCUUCCUCCGCUCUCUCCUCGCCUUCCACCCUCACUUCCUCGUCUCGCCUCUCGUUCAUGCUCCCUUCCUUCGCCGACGACACCAUCGCACGACAAGUCGUCCAUCUCAUUUCUGCUCUCUGUGAAUCAGCCGCUGCCUCGCUCUCUGCUGACUUCGUCGCUAGGGUUUCCUUCUGCCUCUCUUCUGGUGCCUUGGCCUGGAGUCGCCGUCAGCUUUAUACGCUAUUGCACUUGUCUCUAGAGGCGCUCAUGAAGACCCAAAGCGAUGAUGUCCGCUUGAAUUAUGUAGCAUUCUUGACAGUGUUGGCUAGGGAGGACUUUUCGGGGCUGCAUAUACAGUUGAUUUAAACACCAUGAGUUCAUCCGAAGGAGACAACUUUGAGCAAGCAACAGAAGAUUUUAAAGAUGGGAAUCCAAUGAAUAUAUUGUUUACGGAGGCCAUCAAAGGCCCACUGCUUUCAAAGGACAGCCAAGUCCAGAUCAGCACACUGGAUCUACUGUUUCAUUACAUGUCCUCCUGGGAAGGCACUUCAGGCAAAGAAACCCAAUUCCUAGUGGAAGAGAACAUUGCAGAAUAUGUAUUUGAAAUACUAAGAUUGUCAGAAUGCAAGGAUCCAGUGGUCAAAUCUUGUGUUCAGGUACUUGACUUGUUAUCAAAAGCUGACCAAGCUUUCAAACGGAGGCUUGUUGUUGGGUUUGCAACUUUGGUGCCAGAACUCCAUCUGUUCAUGGGAAUUUGAAUCUACAAAUUUCAAUUAAAGAAGCAAUGCAACAUGCUGUAUUAGCUUGUCUAAGUAUCUCGGAGAAGAAUCCUUGUCAACUUUUGCAUUCCUUGUUCCUACUUAAGGAGGCCUAUAAUCAUGAAGGAAAUUCUACUGACUCCACUGAAGUGGAACUACGACAAUUUAUUGUGAAUGUCUGUACAAAACAUUUGUUACCUUGGUUUGGAACCAACUUCAGUGAAAUGGAUGAGGAAACUGUCCUUGGAAUAUUGGAAACAUUUCAUUCGAUACUGCUUCAGGAUUCCAACAAUCAAGCAGCAGAACUUGCAGAGAACCUAGUUUCGAGCAGUUGGUUCAGUUUGUCGUUCGGAUGCCUAGGCUUAUUUCCCAUAGAAAAGAUGAAAUGGAGGGUGUAUCUGAUGCUCAGUUCACUGGUAGAUGUUCUUAUGGGAAAUGAUUCUGGGCAACCUAUUAGAGAUGCUACUUUAUGUCUCCCAUCUGAUCCCAUUGAUUUGCUCUUUCUACUUGGGCAAAAGAACUCCCGUAAUCUGGAAUUAUCUUCUUGCCAAUCUGCCAUUUUGCUGAUUUUAUACACCUGUUCUUUAUAUGAUGAAGGACUUGCAGAUGAUAAGUUGGUUUUAGCUUCUCUAGAGCAAUAUAUUCUGAUCAACAGUAGUGAUCUCCAAGGUGGAUCCACUGAUCUAUCCACAGUGACGAGGCUGGUUUAUCUUUAUGGUCUAGGGUUUAGGGAAAGAACAGUCAUAUGGUAAAUGUUAAUUCAAUUGCAGAAUUAAUAGCAGGAGGAGAUAAUCAUGGAUCAACACUUUUGGUGUUCUUAUUGACACAACUUCUGCCUAUCAAUGAUCUUGGGUUGGGGAUUGCUGGAAAUGCAAGGGACAAGUGUGACUACAAAGAAUAAUUGGAGUAGGAUGAUUGUGGAAGAGCUGGCGAUGUCUUUAGCAGUCCCAUGCCUAGCAUCAAAAAAUUUCAUUAAUCUUCACAAGCCUGUAAUUCAUGUAGCAGUUACAUUGUUAAAGCUGCCGAAGGUUCUUGAGUGGAUGAGAUCGGUGUUUGAUGAUUCUUGCAUAUCUGGCAUCAGUCAAAACCUUGCAGAAAAUAAUUUGAGCACAGAGAUUGUACUUUUAUUUCGAGCUCUACUGAAGUCUGAUGACUUAAAGGCGGAGCAAUUUUCUAUGCCAUGCACUUUUCUGUUCUGUUGAUUUUGUUCGUGUGCUUUAAGGAACUAAAAUGAGGUUUCCUUUUUUAAUACUUCAAACCUGAAAAUGGGUCGUUAUACUUCUGUCCAAUUUGUUUUAGAAUGAAACACUGGCCGAUGGACUUUCCUUAAAUUUUAGCCUUGGUCAUUUCAGGCAGCAUAUUAAAAAGAGGGACAAUGCAGUUAUUUUACACAUUGCAGGCCUGCAGAAAACAGAAGUACACUGACAACAGUCAAGAUGAAAGUGCAAAAGAGCAUAAAUAAAUAAAUAAAAGCGCGGUCGCCAUCCUGGAUGACA